UGAAAUAAGACAAAUGUAAAGUUGGCUAACUUAAGCCACUGGUUGCUAACAUUAUUGAAGAGUCAAAAGUCUGUAGCUAGUGAAGUUCCUUUUUGUGCGAUUUUACGGAUGGAUAUAAACUUUGUAUGGCAGCUGUAUAACAUAAAGAAUCUUUGAAAUGAUGUAGCCUCUUUUUAUUAGUUGCUGAGUGGGUAUGUUGUAAUAAACACAAAACACUGGUGCCUUAGCCUAUAUAGUUCAGUUUUUGAGCUUCUCAAUUUUGUAAUUUAGUUAUUUUCUCUCAAAAGGUUUUGCAGUUUUCUCUUACUUCUUCCCUCUUGGUUUAUUUAAAAACUACUUAAAGGCACUUUUAAGAGCCACGUCUGUCUUGUCUUUCUUGUUGUGUUUGAACCUUUCCUUGCUUUCAUUACCUGAACCCCCCCCCCACCGUUUGAAAAAUCUGAUUUCCAGUCUUUCUGCAUGUCUGUGUCUUUGAUGUUCCAAUAUGAGUGAUUCAGAACUCGAAGAAUUAGUCAGCAUUGCUGAUAAUAAGGAGGUCAUCGAUGACCUUGAGAGGGUGGAUGACCUGCUCAAUGAGCUGCAGAGUGAGGAAGCGGCAGCACCAGUGGUAGUUGCACCAACAGUGAGGUGGAAGAAGAGAGGCAGUGACGGCACCUUGAUUCAUGCAAGACCACGAUCAAGCAGGAAUCAGUCAACUGCUCAGGCUGUUUACCGUCAGACGACUCAUCCAACCAACACUAACUCUGAGGUGGUCUUUGCUCCAGAUGUUGGUAUGCAUGCACUCUUUUUUGGUCUCCAUUAGCCUUUCAAAGAUGUUGACAUUUGUACUUGUAUCUGUAUGGUGUAUGCCAUACAGAGUGAAGAUUUAAAUUUUAUCUUUUUGUUUUAUUACAAGUUUGCCAGAAUUUUGAUCACAGCAGUUAACAGUUGUAUUACUUUAGACUUCUUUUGUACUAUUUUAUCAGAGGAGCUUCUACAAGAUCUCCAGCAUGCACUCACAGAUACAGGAGAUGCA
Molecule: long non-coding RNA, 1015 nt
Organism: Sparus aurata (gilthead seabream)
Lineage: Eukaryota; Metazoa; Chordata; Actinopteri; Spariformes; Sparidae
Source: Ensembl